GCCGCCCCAAAAGACAGGGGGAGACACAGAUCUGACAGCAUGCAACACUCAGAGCUCGGCCAGGGACCAGGGACCGGGCAGCAGCGGAAGUCGGCGGCCACACCCACACAGCCUUCCUCCUUUCUGAGAAAGACCAUCAAAGCAAAGCGAAGGAUGACCACAGUAACUGAGGCUGCUGGAGUGCGGACCACAUGCUGGACACGGUUUAUACCCUCUACGGAAGACCUGACCUUGAUGAACAUUCGCAAUGACCCUUAGGGGUAAAGCCUAUCACUGCCUCAUUUUACAGGCCAGAGCUGGAGGAAAGAUUUCCUGGACAAAAGUAAAUCAUCUCAGUCAACUGUGAUGACAGCCUUCACCCAGGCACUUCUCAUCAGGCGAGGGAAGGCAGUGGAGGGUAGUUGGUAACUCGAGAGCGGAGGGAGCAGUCCACAGUCUGGAGAGGGACUCGGUUUCUCCACAGCCCAGGAGAUGCCGCGUCCUUCACUCUUGCCAGCUUUGCUUACAAAUAAAAACAAAGAAAGAAA
Suricata suricatta (meerkat) is the source of this 527-nucleotide long non-coding RNA. RefSeq lists it as uncharacterized. The record is from RefSeq and is a predicted model, not a curated record. Lineage: Eukaryota; Metazoa; Chordata; Mammalia; Carnivora; Herpestidae. The transcript is spliced from 3 exons.